GAAAAAUGAUCUAAAAUUUAUUUCAUUACAUUACAGUAACAUUUCAUUAUUCUAUCAAAAUAUAUACGAAGUAUUCAAAUUUCAAGCUAAAGCACCGAGUACAUGCCACCCUUGUUGUGAAAUGGUCUCAUCAUAUAUGUGCUUGUAAAAAGGCUUAAUGAAUCAGUUUCUUUCAUGAAUAAGUAGUCAUUUCAGGUUUUUCUUGCAUGAUUCUAGUCUACCUA
This 224-nucleotide unclassified non-coding RNA is filed under the name Hevea brasiliensis (rubber tree). Lineage: Eukaryota; Viridiplantae; Streptophyta; Magnoliopsida; Malpighiales; Euphorbiaceae. The record is from RNAcentral.